GGGAGAGGGAUGGGGAGAGGGUUGUGGUUGGGGAGAGGGAUGGGGAGAGGGUUGGAGCUGGGGAGAGGGAUGGGGAGAGGGCUGGGUCUAGCAUCUGUAACCCUGCCCCCCUCAUUCCCACCAGCAGGCCAAGGGCAUCGACUGUAGUCAGCCACCCCAGACAGGUCAGGGUGAGGAGGAGGAGAAGUGGAUCUGAGAAGAGGACAGUGGUCUGUGAAGGGGCUGGGUCUGAGGCUGGGAUUGGGUCUGAGCCUGGGAUUGGGUCUGAGGCUGGGAUUGGGUCUGAGCCUGGGAUUGGGUCUGAGGCUGGGAUUGGGGAGAUGACUGGUUCUCGUGGUGAUCUCUCUGUGGACUCCAGGGUGAGGAGGAAGAGAAGUGGAUCCGAGAAGAGGACAGUGGUCUGGUCUGAGGACCAGGAUGUACAACCAGACUCCAGGGUGAAGUUUCCCCUAGGUACAGAUCUAGGAUCAGCUCCCCCAAUUCUAACUUUAACUACUAGUGGCAAAAAUCCAGAAGUGACCCAAUAUCAGCAUCUAGGGGCAACUUCACCACCCUACACCGUACAACCAGACGGCAUCACUGCAAUAAGUGAUCACCCACUUCCACGGUCCAAUACCUCAACUUCAAUCAGGACAAUAAAUGGUAAACAGGUUCAAUUUAAUACGAAAUAACAACUCAUCCGAAAUAGCAAAUCUAAAUGCAAGGGUGUGAAUCCGUACUAAAAUGUUGCACAGAACAGAUACGUCUCAGUGAUUAUUGUUGCCGGAGGAAGAUGUGUUGAGUUUUGGCAUGUAUCUACAGAUUGUCUAUCUAAUGUGUGAUUACUGCUACAAGUUUCUUCACCUUUUGUAAUGUGUUUUUUUGUUGUUGUGUGGAUGUGACUGAGUAAGUUGCCAAAUGUCUUUCAUCUAGAGAGACAGUACGGGUCAAUCGUGUUCAGGUGCAUUGUUUUAUAAAGAUAGAGUAUAUCUUUUGAAUACUACAUCAAUUUAUGUAUGUAUUUAUCCUUUAUUUAUUUAUGUAUUCAUUUAUUAAUGUAGCUAUUUACAUAACCGUGGGAAGUGGUUUGGGGGGGUCAGGGUGCUGCAGGUUUUCCCCCCUCGCUGGAGACUAAUGGUUUGGGGGGGUCGGAGUGCUGCAGGUUUUCCCCCCUCGCCGGAGACUAAUGGUUUGGGGGGGUCGGGGUGCUGCAGGUUUUCCCCCCUCGCUGGAGACUAAUGGUUUGGGGGGGUCGGGGUGCUGCAGGUUUUCCCCCCUCGCUGGAGACUAAUGGUUUGGGGGGGUCGGGUGCUGCAGGUUUUCCCCCCUCGCCGGAGACUAAUGGUUUGGGGGGGUCGGGGUGCUGCAGGUUUUCCCCCCUCGCUGGAGACUAAUGGUUUGGGGGGGGUCAGGGUGCUACAGGUUUUCCUCCCUCGCUGGAGACUAAUGGUUUGGGGGGGUCCGGGUGCUGCAGGUUUUCCCCCUCGCCGGAGGCUAAUGGUUUGGGGGGGUCCGGGUGCUGCAGGUUUUCCCCCUCGCUGGAGACUAAUGGUUUGGGGGGGUCCGGGUGCUGCAGGUUUUCCCCCUCGCCGGAGGCUAAUGGUUUGCUAAUACAGGACUCGUAAAUGCUGUGACCUCUGACACUAGUAAGGACCCAGUGCACUACUUUGGUGACAUAUUUUUUACUAAAUGUAUUUGAGUGUUUACCAGCAUUUGUAACUUGAUUAAUUAUCUGUACAAAACAGUUCAUCUGAUAAUACUUAUAUAAAAAUAUAAUAUAAAAAUACUUGCUUGA
This is a long non-coding RNA of Salvelinus fontinalis (brook trout), 1774 nucleotides long. RefSeq lists it as uncharacterized. The record is from RefSeq and is a predicted model, not a curated record. The transcript has 2 exons. Lineage: Eukaryota; Metazoa; Chordata; Actinopteri; Salmoniformes; Salmonidae.